RNAcentral lists this long non-coding RNA (240 nucleotides) under Dasypus novemcinctus (nine-banded armadillo). RNAcentral describes it as "lncRNA (ENSDNOG00000051706.1)". The record is from RNAcentral. Lineage: Eukaryota; Metazoa; Chordata; Mammalia; Cingulata; Dasypodidae.
AAAAGUGACAGCCGCCUGUGCCCCAGGGCCAGUGCCUGUUGGAGCAGUGCGCCUACGUGGAUGCCCUGCACGUCUUCUCGCAAGCCUCCAAACUUCAACCCAAGAAAUCCUGCUUCCAGUACCGGUGCAUGGCUUGCCUCCUGGCCCUCGAACGCUACCACGACUGCCUCUUGCUCAUCGCUAAGGAGCUGAAGCAGGGCACGAGCAAUGCCGAUAUCUACAUCCUCCAGGCCAGGCUCC